AACUUUUGCCAAGUUGUUGAAUGCUUAGAGAUUCUAAGUAUUGUGAUUCAUUUACUUGUAUAGGAAGAUCUGAUGA
Small nucleolar RNA from Arabis alpina (gray rockcress), 76 nucleotides. It matches the Rfam family "Small nucleolar RNA snoR64a". The record is from Rfam. Lineage: Eukaryota; Viridiplantae; Streptophyta; Magnoliopsida; Brassicales; Brassicaceae.